UUUUACUUAGUUUAAUUAAGCAAAAUAAUAACUUGUCGAGUUAUAGAAAAUAUUAUUAUUAGUAAAAA
RNAcentral lists this transfer RNA (68 nucleotides) under Physella acuta. Its description in RNAcentral is "tRNA-Asp". Lineage: Eukaryota; Metazoa; Mollusca; Gastropoda; Physidae. The record is from RNAcentral.